UGAUAUGUGCUUAUAUGAUCAAACCCAAACACCCCCAUAACUAAACUAAAUGGAUCUAUGGCUUUUAUUGAUCAGUUAGUUUGUCCAAAUUGCUUGAAGAUGCCAACAUGUAAUAUGAGUGUUGAGAAACAUAUACUUUGGAAUUAAAGAACAACUAACAUUAACAAAAUCUUGUCUCCUUCUCAUGCUGGAUUUUGGAUUCAUCCACUUCCAUCAAGAUGUCCAUUAGAGGCAAUGUGAGCCUGGUAUUGCUCAUGAUAUGCAUACGGUGAUUUCCCUUGACGCUCGAAAUGUUUAGCCAUUAUAGACCAUUCAAUCGGGCCCCAUUCUUCCACUUCAAAACAAUUCCCCAGUGCAGAUUUAU
RNAcentral lists this long non-coding RNA (364 nucleotides) under Helianthus annuus (common sunflower). RNAcentral describes it as "sRNA HanXRQr2_Chr12g0533991". Lineage: Eukaryota; Viridiplantae; Streptophyta; Magnoliopsida; Asterales; Asteraceae. The record is from RNAcentral.